Long non-coding RNA from Ixodes scapularis (black-legged tick), 749 nucleotides. RefSeq lists it as uncharacterized. The transcript is spliced from 3 exons. The record is from RefSeq and is a predicted model, not a curated record. NCBI's taxonomy places the organism in Eukaryota, Metazoa, Arthropoda, Arachnida, Ixodida, Ixodidae.
CGGCAGAUAAAAGAACAAGUUAACAUUAAUAUAAUUAAGACUAGCUUUUCUGUUCUAGUUGUGGAAGUAAAAUAAAUAUUAAUGAUUAAAAAAAAUAGUUUUGAAGUAUUCAAAUUUUACGAAACAAGACAAUCCAAUCCAGGAUGUUAAGCGUUGUUGGCUUUUUUUGCAGGCUGUUUAAACAGAACGAGCGGGUUGGUACAAUAGUUGGUUUGGAUAAUUAAACUUGAGGAAGAAAACGAGAAGGGACGGACAAACACAAACUUCUAUCGCGGGCACAACUUUGUUGUGCCCGCGAUAUUCUUGAGCGUGCGUGUUGCCUUCCCUGCGGUUUGCGUAGGCUAUUUCCAUAGAACGUUUGAGCCUGGAGUGCGUUGAGAGUUCACAGCAAGCAGCUAGUGCCGCUGGUGCCCUGUGGGUUCCACCGAAGUCGUCCUCAGUUGUACCCCACCGAGGGCAUCGCAGUGUCUGCGGCGCCGAGCAAGUACUGCGUCUUCAAGGGCGGUGCCCGUAAAGCCGACGGUGUCUCGUUAUUCCAGUUUCUCAGGAACCGCAGACUAAGGAGCAUUUCCCAGACAACUUGAUGGAUGACAAGGCCUAGCCCCGACUGAAAAAGGGUGCCUUUCCGGCGCUGCAACUCGAAGAAGCGCCAACAGCGAAACGCAGGAGGAGGAGAGCAGUGCGCAGUCGUACCGGAAUCUCCGAGUGACAGCGUUGCUCCAGGACUAGCUACUCUCGACCAGUGGGCA